Long non-coding RNA from Centruroides sculpturatus (bark scorpion), 348 nucleotides. RefSeq lists it as uncharacterized. NCBI's taxonomy places the organism in Eukaryota, Metazoa, Arthropoda, Arachnida, Scorpiones, Buthidae. The record is from RefSeq and is a predicted model, not a curated record. The transcript has 3 exons.
CUGUAUUUGAAAUUUUUAAUUUUUUGUAAUUUACAUUUAUGUUAUAGAGAGAUUUUCAGAAUAUAAUGCUGAAUUUGAGAAAUUAAAAGCUGAAGAACUUCAUUUGAAGUCAGAUAAACAGGAUAAAAUUGAAGAAUGUGAAAAGGCAAAACAACGGUUAGAUGAAUAUCAUGAAAAUAUGCAUAAUAUAUUACAGCUGACUGAAUCUUUAGAAGCAAAACUGAAUAUAGAAGAGGAAAAAACCAAAGAAUAUGAACGAUUAUUAGUUACUCAACAGUCUAAUGAUGAAAAAAUUGUGGAAUUUGAUAAAGCUAUUAAUUAUUUUCAAUCAAGAUUAGGACUGAAAUU